UGAUUCCCCUAGUAACGGCGAGUGAAGAGGGAAAAGCUCAAAGUUGGAACCUGGCUGUCUUAGAUGGUCCGGAUUGUAAACUAAAGAGCGUGAAUCCAGGCAAGCCGGUUGACAAAGUCCUUUGGAAUGAGGCGCCACUGAGGGUGAGAGCCCCGUAAGUCGACUGAGCAUUUGUCUUUUGUGUUUCGCGUUCAAAGAGUCAGGUUGUUUGGGAAUGCAGCCUAAAGCUGGUGGUAAAUCCCACCUAAAGCUAAAUACAGGCGAGAGACCGAUAGCGAACAAGUACCGUGAGGGAAAGAUGAAAAGUACUUUGAAAAGAGAGUUAAACAGUAUGUGAAAUUGCCAAGAGGGAAGCAUUUGGAGUUAGACUGACUUGAAGUCAAUCAACUUGGUCUUUGGACUGGGUGUACUUGGCUUUUAUGUCUGCCAACAGCAGUUAGUUCUGGUGGAAAAAACUAGAGGGAAGGUAGUCCUUCGGGAUGUUUAUAGACCUUUAGAAAAUACACUGGGACUGACUGAGGAAUGCAGUAGAUGCUAUUAGGCUUCGUCUUGUGGGUGUUGGGUAAAGGUACUAGGUGUUUUCAGCUUGCUGAUGCGCAUUGUGCCCGAGUCCAUCCACUCACAAGUACUGUAAUC
Molecule: ribosomal RNA, 636 nt
Filed under: Lichtheimia hyalospora
Lineage: Eukaryota; Fungi; Mucoromycota; Mucoromycetes; Mucorales; Lichtheimiaceae
Description: eukaryotic LSU rRNA
Rfam family: Eukaryotic large subunit ribosomal RNA
Source: RNAcentral